Molecule: ribosomal RNA, 168 nt
Filed under: uncultured Soehngenia sp.
Lineage: Bacteria; Bacillati; Bacillota; Tissierellia; Tissierellales; Tissierellaceae
Description: partial 16S ribosomal RNA
Rfam family: Bacterial small subunit ribosomal RNA
Source: RNAcentral
CCUACGGGAGGCAGCAGUGGGGGAUAUUGCACAAUGGAGGAAACUCUGAUGCAGCGACGCCGCGUGAGUGAAGACGCCUUUCGGGUCGUAAAGCUCUGUCCUAGGGGAAGAUAAUGACGGUACCCUAGGAGGAAGCCCCGGCUAACUACGUGCCAGCAGCCGCGGUAA